RNAcentral lists this ribosomal RNA (387 nucleotides) under uncultured bacterium. Its description in RNAcentral is "bacterial SSU rRNA". It matches the Rfam family "Bacterial small subunit ribosomal RNA", at positions 28 to 408 of the family's 1533-position model. The record is from RNAcentral.
GACGAACGCUGGCGGCGUGCCUAACACAUGCAAGUGGAGCGACGAACCAGGCUUCGGCCUGGGGCAAAGCCGCGAACGGGUGAGUAACACGUGGGUAACCUGCCCUGAUGAUUGGGACAACCCGAGGAAACUCGGGCUAAUACCAAAUGUGCCCUUCGGCCAUAAGGCCGCCGGGGAAAGGAAGCUUCGGCCUCCGCAUCUGGAUGGGCCCGCGGCCCAUUAGCUUGUUGGUGAGGUAACGGCUCACCAAGGCGACGAUGGGUAGCUGGUCUGAGAGGACGAUCAGCCACACUGGGACUGAGACACGGCCCAGACUCCUACGGGAGGCAGCAGUGGGGAAUCUUGCGCAAUGCGCGAAAGCGUGACGCAGCAACGCCGCGUGGGGAA